AUUGAACGCUGGCGGCAGGCUUAACACAUGCAAGUCGAGCGAGCGGCGGACGGGUGAGUAAUGUAUGGGAAUCUGCCUGAUAGAGGGGGAUAACUACUGGAAACGGUAGCUAAUACCGCAUACCAUCGGAUGAGCCCAUAUGGGAUUAGCUAGUAGGUGGGGUAAAGGCUCACCUAGGCGACGAUCCCUAGCUGGUCUGAGAGGAUGAUCAGCCACACUGGGACUGAGACACGGCCCAGACUCCUACGGGAGGCAGCAUGGGGGAAUAUUGCACAAUGGGCGCAAGCCUGAUGCAGCCAUGCCGCGUGUAUGAAGAAGGCCUUAGGGUUGUAAAGUACUUUCAGCGGGGAGGCGUUACCCGCAGAAGAAGCACCGGCUAACUCCGUGCCAGCAGCCGCGGUAAUUC
Molecule: ribosomal RNA, 406 nt
Filed under: uncultured bacterium
Lineage: Bacteria
Description: partial 16S ribosomal RNA
Rfam family: Bacterial small subunit ribosomal RNA
Source: RNAcentral